This 24-nucleotide microRNA is filed under the name Drosophila mojavensis. RNAcentral's name for it is "Dmo-Novel-15_3p* (star (passenger))". Lineage: Eukaryota; Metazoa; Arthropoda; Insecta; Diptera; Drosophilidae. The record is from RNAcentral.
AAUUACACGUUGAUUUUACAAAUA